Molecule: long non-coding RNA, 291 nt
Filed under: Lathyrus oleraceus (garden pea)
Lineage: Eukaryota; Viridiplantae; Streptophyta; Magnoliopsida; Fabales; Fabaceae
Description: Pisum sativum (pea) long non-coding RNA (PSAT_LNC004966)
Source: RNAcentral
UUGCUUUGGCAACAUUUUUGACAAAAAGGGGGAGUAACAUAUGUGCCCCAAGAUAACAGAUUUGCUAUGUGCUUGAACAGAUAUUGAAGAUCCUCUAAUCCAGAGGUUGUGCUGCAGCUUGAUGUUCACCUUCUAUGUGUGAUGAGUGUGAGUGUGUUUCUGUUUACUAUCUGCAUGUGUGUUAUUGUUUGAAGUUUUUAUUUAACUUAUAUGUGUGCUGCUGUUUGAAGUUUUUCUUUAACUUCUGUGUGUGCUGCUAUUUGAAGUUUUUAUUUAACUUCUAUGUGUGCU